UACGUAGGGUGCAAGCGUUGUCCGGAAUUAUUGGGCGUAAAGAGCUCGUAGGCGGUCUGUCGCGUCGGCUGUGAAAUCCCGAGGCUCAACCUCGGGUCUGCAGUCGAUACGGGCAAACUAGAGUAUUGCAGGGGAGACUGGAAUUCCUGGUGUAGCGGUGAAAUGCGCAGAUAUCAGGAGGAACACCGGUGGCGAAGGCGGGUCUCUGGGCAGUAACUGACGCUGAGGAGCGAAAGCGUGGGGGAGCGAACAGG
This 254-nucleotide ribosomal RNA is filed under the name uncultured bacterium. RNAcentral describes it as "partial 16S ribosomal RNA". It matches the Rfam family "Bacterial small subunit ribosomal RNA", at positions 524 to 776 of the family's 1533-position model. The record is from RNAcentral.